This 449-nucleotide ribosomal RNA is filed under the name uncultured bacterium. RNAcentral describes it as "partial 16S ribosomal RNA". It matches the Rfam family "Bacterial small subunit ribosomal RNA", at positions 29 to 523 of the family's 1533-position model. The record is from RNAcentral.
AACGAACGCUGGCGGCAUGCCUAAUACAUGCAAGUCGAACGAGAUCUUCGGAUCUAGUGGCGCACGGGUGCGUAACGCGUGGGAAUCUGCCCUUGGGUUCGGAAUGACAUCGGGAAACUGAUGCUAAUACCGGAUGAUGACGUAAGUCCAAAGAUUUAUCGCCCAGGGAUGAGCCCGCGUAGGAUUAGCUAGUUGGUGGGGUAAAGGCUCACCAAGGCGACGAUCCUUAGCUGGUCUGAGAGGAUGAUCAGCCACACUGGGACUGAGACACGGCCCAGACUCCUACGGGAGGCAGCAGUAGGGAAUAUUGGACAAUGGGGGCAACCCUGAUCCAGCAAUGCCGCGUGAGUGAUGAAGGCCUUAGGGUUGUAAAGCUCUUUUACCCGAGAUGAUAAUGACAGUAUCGGGAGAAUAAGCUCCGGCUAACUCCGUGCCAGCCGCCGCCGUAA